AACGCACAUUGCGCCCCCUGGUAUUCCGGGGGGCAUGCCUGUUCGAGCGUCAUUUAUACCAAUCUAGCCCGGCUAGGUGUUGGGCUUCGCCGUCUGGCGGGCCUUAAAAUCAGUGGCGGUGCUUCCAGGCUCUACGCGUAGUAAUUUUCUCGCUAUAGGGUCCUGGGAGACGCUGGCCAACAACCCCAAAUUUUUCUAGGUUGACCUCGGAUCAGGUAGGGAUACCCGCUGAACUUAA
RNAcentral lists this unclassified non-coding RNA (238 nucleotides) under uncultured Lachnum. RNAcentral's name for it is "sequence contains ITS2". The stretch from base 1 to 52 matches the Rfam family "5.8S ribosomal RNA", at positions 103 to 154 of the family's 154-position model. Lineage: Eukaryota; Fungi; Ascomycota; Leotiomycetes; Helotiales; Hyaloscyphaceae. The record is from RNAcentral.